UACAGAGGUCCCAAGCGUUGUUCGGAUUCACUGGGCGUAAAGCGUGCGCAGGCGGCUUUGCAAGACAGAUGUGAAAUCCCCGGGCUUAACCUGGGAACUGCAUUUGUGACUGCAUGGCUCGAGUACGGUAGAGGGGGAUGGAAUUCCGCGUGUAGCAGUGAAAUGCGUAGAUAUGCGGAGGAACACCGAUGGCGAAGGCAGUCCCCUGGACCUGUACUGACGCUCAUGCACGAAAGCGUGGGGAGCAAACAGG
RNAcentral lists this ribosomal RNA (253 nucleotides) under uncultured bacterium. RNAcentral's name for it is "partial 16S ribosomal RNA". It matches the Rfam family "Bacterial small subunit ribosomal RNA", at positions 524 to 776 of the family's 1533-position model. The record is from RNAcentral.